RNAcentral lists this ribosomal RNA (253 nucleotides) under uncultured bacterium. Its description in RNAcentral is "partial 16S ribosomal RNA". It matches the Rfam family "Bacterial small subunit ribosomal RNA", at positions 524 to 776 of the family's 1533-position model. The record is from RNAcentral.
UACAGAGGGUGCAAGCGUUAAUCGGAAUUACUGGGCGUAAAGCGUGCGUAGUCGGCUUUUUAAGUCGGGUGUGAAAUCCCCGGGCUCAACCUGGGAAUUGCAUUCGAUACUGGAUCGCUAGAGUUCGGCAGAGGGAAGCGGAAUUUCCGGUGUAGCGGUGAAAUGCGUAGAGAUCGGAAGGAACACCAGUGGCGAAGGCGGCUGCCUGGACAGAUACUGACGCUGAGGCGCGAGAGCGUGGGGAGCAAACAGG